This is a long non-coding RNA of Oncorhynchus keta (chum salmon), 1423 nucleotides long. RefSeq lists it as uncharacterized. The transcript is spliced from 3 exons. Lineage: Eukaryota; Metazoa; Chordata; Actinopteri; Salmoniformes; Salmonidae. The record is from RefSeq and is a predicted model, not a curated record.
CUUCUCCACACUCCCCGUGCCCCCCCCCCAAUACAUUUUUGGGGAUGCCUCUCGGGCCUCCUUGAUCGCCGUGCAAACUCCAUUCGCCGGUAUCUCUCCUCACAUUGUUCCAGAGAAUCCCAGGCGGGCUCCGACAUUCUCCCUGGGUCAACCGACCACCUCUCUAUUUCGUCCCAUGUUGUAAUAUAGUCCAGAUAGUCCUUUGGUGGUGGGUGGUUUUGUUACGGCUGUCUUGGGAAGAAGGUGAGGACCAAAGUGCAGGGUGAUGACCAGGAGGAGGAGAGGUUCUGUCUCUGACUCACAGACAGCCAGGAGGAGAGGUUCUGUCUCUGACUCACAGACAGCCAGGAGGAGAGGUUCUGUCUCUGACUCACAGACAGCCAGGAGGAGAGGUUCUGUCUCUGACUCACAGACAGCCAGGAGGAGAGGUUCUGUCUCUGACUCACAGAUGACCAGGAGGAGGAGAGGUUCUGUCUCUGACUCACGGACAGCCAGGAGGAGAGGUUCUCUGAUUUUUUCCAGACAAUUUCAGUCAAAAGAACAUAUCUUUCAAUGCAUUUUGUUCAUUUGAUGCCCCCCUACUGGUGAACGUUGAACUGAAGACUUGAAAGAGUCAGGAUUCAAGAAACCUCUGGUUCUAAUGUCGUUCACCAUGGGGAGCUUAUUCAUUGGAGUGAUCAUUUGUGACUCAGCCUUGUGUAAUGUGUGCUUUUAAACAAUUUACAAUUUGUUGAUUGCUAGGCACACAAAUACAAUUAUUUCUUGAUACAUUUGAAACCAGAUCUAGUUCAGGCCACAACCGAACUAGAUCAUGAACAACUUUAGGCGAAUGUCACGCCCUGACCUUCGAGAUCCUUUUUAUGUCUCUAUUUUGGUUUUGGUCAGGGUGUGAGUUGGGGUGGGCAUUCUAUGUUUUGUGUUUCUAUGAUUUUCUAUUUCUAUGUUUUGGCCCGGUAUGGUUCUCAAUCAGGGACAGCUGUCUAUUGUUGUCUCUGAUUGGGAACCAUACUUAGGUACCCUUUUUUCCCACCUGUGUUUGUGUGAAGUUGACUUUCUUAAUGGCACUUAGCCUUAAGCGUCACUGUUUUGUAGUGUGUGUUGUUUUGUUCGGCGUCUUUUCUUAAUUAAAGAUCAUGUACGCUCACCACGCUCCACCUUGGUCCAGUUCCUUCAACAGCCAUGACAGCGAAAUGCAGUAUGAUAAGCAACAAUAUCAACAAACAUGACUCAGUUACAUCAGCUCUGUCUGGAGGAAUGGGCCAAAAUUCACCCAACUUAUUGUGGGAAGCUUGUGGGAGGCUACCCGAAACGUUUGACCCAAGUUAAACAAUUUAAAGGCAAUGCUACUAAAUACUAAUUGAGUGUAUGUACACUUCUGACCCACUGGGAAUGUGAUGAAAUAAAUAAAAGCUGAAAUAAAUCA